UAGGGAAUCUUCGCAAUGGACGAAAGUCUGACGGAGCAACGCCGCGUGAGCGAAGAAGGUCUUCGGAUCGUAAAGCUCUGUUGUUAGGGAAGAACAAGUAUCGUUCGAAUAGGGCGGUACCUUGACGGUACCUAACCAGAAAGCCACGGCUAACUACGUG
This 160-nucleotide ribosomal RNA is filed under the name uncultured bacterium. RNAcentral describes it as "partial 16S ribosomal RNA". It matches the Rfam family "Bacterial small subunit ribosomal RNA", at positions 355 to 507 of the family's 1533-position model. The record is from RNAcentral.